AUUGAACGCUGGCGGCAGGCCUAACACAUGCAAGUCGAGCGGAUGAAGGGAGCUUGCUCCUGGAUUCAGCGGCGGACGGGUGAGUAAUGCCUAGGAAUCUGCCUGGUUGGGGGGGAUAACGUCCGGAAACGGGCGCUAAUACCGCAUACGUCCUGCGGGAGCAGGUGGGGGAGCUUCGGACCUCACGCUAUCAGAUGAGCCUAGGUCGGAUUAGCUAGUUGGUGGGGUAAAGGCCUACCAAGGCGACGAUCCGUAACUGGUCUGAGAGGAUGAUCAGUCACACUGGAACUGAGACACGGUCCAGACUCCUACGGGAGGCAGCAGUGGGGAAUAUUGGACAAUGGGCGAAAGCCUGAUCCAGCCAUGCCGCGUGUGUGAAGAAGGUCUUCGGAUUGUAAAGCACGUUAAGUUGGGAGGAAGGGCAGUAAGUUAAUACCUUGCUGUUUUGACGUUACCAACAGAAUAAGCACCGGCUAACUUCGUG
Molecule: ribosomal RNA, 484 nt
Filed under: uncultured bacterium
Lineage: Bacteria
Description: partial 16S ribosomal RNA
Rfam family: Bacterial small subunit ribosomal RNA
Source: RNAcentral